This 575-nucleotide long non-coding RNA is filed under the name Heterocephalus glaber (naked mole-rat). RNAcentral describes it as "lncRNA (ENSHGLG00100044970.1)". The record is from RNAcentral. Lineage: Eukaryota; Metazoa; Chordata; Mammalia; Rodentia; Bathyergidae.
UCCAGAAGAUUUAGAGAAGAGCAGCCGUGUGUGUACGAGCAGCGUCUCCAGGCAUCAGACCUGUCAGCUGCUGUCCUGCCAAGCUUCACGUGCGUCCUGUCCCCGCGCCUCAGCAGAGAGCCACGUGGAUGUUUCCUUGCUGCCUGCGGCCCACGGAGGCCUUGACUGCUAGCCACUUCAGGUCUCAGAGCGGUGAUGACACAGAUGACCUUUCCAGGGUCCUUUUGACUUUGGGGAGGAGCCAGAAGUUGCCUGGUGCCAGAUCUGGUGAUUAAGGCGGCUGGGGACACAGCAUCAUGUUUGUAUUUGACAGACAUUGCCAUAAAUGACUUGAAUUGAUUCAGGACAUCAAGGCAGCCCCGAGAAUGCAACCAAAGAUACUCACAAAAGAGAACUUCAGAACUGCUUCAGAAGCGGAAGGAAUGAUAGGCAUUGAGAAACUGACUGAGACACUGAUGGACAAAGAUGUUCUCCGUUUCACCUCCAAAACCAAUUCUGGUCUGGAUUCAGUGAGAAGGAUUAAGAUGGUGCCUAUAAUGUUUCUCUACUGUAAAGGAUUGUGGGUGAUCAUCUUC